Molecule: ribosomal RNA, 228 nt
Filed under: uncultured bacterium
Lineage: Bacteria
Description: partial 16S ribosomal RNA
Rfam family: Bacterial small subunit ribosomal RNA
Source: RNAcentral
GAUAGGCUCAGGACGAACGCUGGCGGCGUGCUUAGCACAUGCAAGUCGAACGAGAAUCUGUGGAAAGAGGAUUCGUCCAAUUGAAGCAGAGGACAGUGGCGGACGGGUGAGUAACGCGUGAGGAACCUGCCUUUCAGAGGGGGACAACAGUUGGAAACGACUGCUAAUACCGCAUAACACAUUGAGGUCGCAUGGCCUUAAUGUCAAAGAUUUAUCGCUGAAAGAUGG